GACGAACGCUGGCGGCGUGCUUAACACAUGCAAGUCGAACGGAAAGGCCCUGCUUUUGUGGGGUGCUCGAGUGGCGAACGGGUGAGUAACACGUGAGUAACCUGCCCUUGACUUUGGGAUAACUUCAGGAAACUGGGGCUCAUACCGGAUAGGAGCUCCUGCUGCUUGGUGGGGGUUGGAAAGUUUCGGCGGUUGGGGAUGGACUCGCGGCUUAUCAGCUUGGUGGUGGGGUAGUGGCUUACCAAGGCUUUGAAGGGUAGCCGACCUGAGAGGGGAACCGGCCACAUUAGGACUGAGAUGCGGCCCAGACCACUACGGGAGGCAGCGGAGGGGAAUAGUACACAAUAGGCGGAAGCCUGGUCCGACAACGCCGCGUGCGGGAUGACGUCCUGGGGGUUGUGAACCGCUUUCGCCUGUGACGAAGCGUGAGUGACGGUAAUGGGUAAAGAAGCACCGGCUAACUACGUG
This 468-nucleotide ribosomal RNA is filed under the name uncultured bacterium. Its description in RNAcentral is "partial 16S ribosomal RNA". It matches the Rfam family "Bacterial small subunit ribosomal RNA", at positions 28 to 507 of the family's 1533-position model. The record is from RNAcentral.